GAUGAACGCUGGCGGCGCGGAUAAGGCAUGCAAGUCGAACGCCGGGCACAUAACUUGUUAUGUGCUCGGUAGUGGCAGACGGGUUAGUAACACGUAGGUACAAACCCUUUACACAGAAAUAACUCUUCGAAAGAAGAGCUAAUGUCUGAUGGUCUGGUUGUCCAUAUUGGAUAAUCAGUAAAGGUAUACGCAAGUAUGUCGGUAGAGGAUUGGCCUGCGUUCUAUCAGCUAGUUGGUAGGGUAACGGCCUACCAAGGCGAUGACGGAUAGGCGGUGUGAGAGCAUGACCGCCAACAAUGGGACUGAAACAUGGCCCAUACUCCUACGGGAGGCAGCAGUCGAGAAUAUUGGUCAAUGAGGGAAACCUUGAACCAGCGACGCCGCGUGCUUGAAGAAGUCCUUCGGGAUGUAAAGAGCUUUUCUCAGGGAUGAAUCUUCGGAUGACAGUACCUGAGGAAUAAGGGGUGACUAAACUCGUGCCAGCAGUAGCGGUAAUACGAGUACCCCAAGCGUUAUCCGGAUUUAUUGGGCGUAAAGAGUCUGUAGGCGGUUCAGAAAGUCUCUGGUUAAAGCUUAGGGCUCAACCUUAAGAAUGCCGGAGAAACUACUGGACUGGAGGGCGUUAGAGGUUGGAGGAACGGUCGGUGUAGGGGUGAAAUCCGUUGAUAUCGACCGGAACCCUAAAUGCGAAGGCAUCCAACUGGGGCGACCCUGACGCUGAGAGACGAAAGCGUAGGUAGCAAAAAGGAUUAGAUACCCUUGUAGUCUACGCUGUAAACUAUGGAUACUGGCUAUCUGAAGUGUCGACCCUUCAGGUGGCGAAGCAAACGCGUUAAGUAUCCCGCCUGGGAAGUACGGUCGCAAGACUA
This 869-nucleotide ribosomal RNA is filed under the name uncultured bacterium. RNAcentral's name for it is "bacterial SSU rRNA". It matches the Rfam family "Bacterial small subunit ribosomal RNA", at positions 28 to 896 of the family's 1533-position model. The record is from RNAcentral.